AAUUGAAGGCUUCUGAAAUAUAAGGUUAUACCACCUACUAAUGAUGCUAAUUUACAGUUAAAAAUAACAAUAAACAUUUCAAAUACUAAACUAAUAUAAACUUUAACAAAACUCAUAUGCAAAAUAGAAUAACAAAAAAUGAUAGCAAAUAAAAAGCAACAAAACAAACGUUGCAAAAAAAAAGAACAAAAAAAUAAAAUAGAUAAAAAUAGAUAAAAAAAAUUAUAAUCUUUCCGCGCAUAGCGCGGGUCAACAACUAGUAACAUAUAUAAACAGGUUAAAGCCAAAAUAUGACGAGACG
RNAcentral lists this long non-coding RNA (301 nucleotides) under Capsella rubella. Its description in RNAcentral is "long non-coding RNA (CRUB_LNC004891)". Lineage: Eukaryota; Viridiplantae; Streptophyta; Magnoliopsida; Brassicales; Brassicaceae. The record is from RNAcentral.